RNAcentral lists this ribosomal RNA (356 nucleotides) under uncultured bacterium. RNAcentral's name for it is "partial 16S ribosomal RNA". It matches the Rfam family "Bacterial small subunit ribosomal RNA", at positions 338 to 709 of the family's 1533-position model. The record is from RNAcentral.
CCUACGGGAGGCAGCAGUGGGGAAUAUUGGGCAAUGGGCGCAAGCCUGACCCAGCAACGCCGCGUGAAGGAAGAAGGCUUUCGGGUUGUAAACUUCUUUUAAGAGGGAAGAGCAGAAGACGGUACCUCUUGAAUAAGCCACGGCUAACUACGUGCCAGCAGCCGCGGUAAUACGUAGGUGGCAAGCGUUGUCCGGAUUUACUGGGUGUAAAGGGCGUGCAGCCGGGAAGACAAGUCAGAGGUGAAAUCGCGGGGCGGAACCGCGGAACUGAUUUUGAAACUGUUUUUCUUGAGUGCAGGAGAGGAAGGAGGAAGUCGUGGUGGAGCGGUGAAAUGCGGAGAGAUGAGGAAGAGCGA